Pelobates cultripes (western spadefoot toad) is the source of this 387-nucleotide non-coding RNA. Lineage: Eukaryota; Metazoa; Chordata; Amphibia; Anura; Pelobatidae. The record is from the annotation of a GenBank genome assembly.
CCUAGUUUAUACUAAGUGACCCAUAGGUUGAGGAGGCGGUGGAGGAGGAGGCAGCCAACACUGGUUUUAUAUAUAUUUUAAUUGUGGUAGCCCCCAAAAUAUUGGGACAUAUGAAAAAAAUGACAACUCUGUUCUGCAGAGUAGCUGUUUACAUUAUAGUUGCACAGGAACUUUGUUGACCCUAGAGAACCUCCCCGUGGCGGCGACUUUGCAUGCGGAUGUCAUCCAUAUCAACUUUCGAUGCCAGUUUCUGCACCUACCAUGGUGACAUGGGUAACGGGGAACCAGGGUUCCAUUCCAUACAGGGAACCUGAGUAACGGCUACCACAUGCAAGUAAGGCAGCAGGUGCACAAAUGACCCACUCCCGACGCGGGAAGAUAGUGACG